This 264-nucleotide signal recognition particle RNA is filed under the name Bacillota bacterium. RNAcentral's name for it is "signal recognition particle sRNA large type". It matches the Rfam family "Bacterial large signal recognition particle RNA". From Rfam's summary of the family: The signal recognition particle (SRP) is a universally conserved ribonucleoprotein involved in the co-translational targeting of proteins to membranes. Archaeal SRP consists of a 7S RNA and homologues of the eukaryotic SRP19 and SRP54 proteins. RNAcentral also lists the same sequence under 1 other name. The record is from RNAcentral. Lineage: Bacteria; Bacillati; Bacillota.
CCGUGCUAGACGGGGAGAUAGCGGUGCCCUGUAACCUGCAAGCCGCUACAGCAGGGUUGAUCACCUCUUUGAGGGGUUUUCGGAGUGGUGCUGCCCUCGGCAAGUGUCGAUGAAGGAUGAGUCCUGCGCAAUAAGGACUUCCGAACCCUGCCAGGUCCGGAAGGAAGCAGCAGUAAGGGAGACCCCUUAUGUGCCGCAGGGGAGCUUGUCCGGAGAAAACGACCGAGGUAACGACUGUUGCGGAAUCUCGAUGGAGGCGCACGG